RNAcentral lists this ribosomal RNA (465 nucleotides) under uncultured bacterium. RNAcentral's name for it is "partial 16S ribosomal RNA". It matches the Rfam family "Bacterial small subunit ribosomal RNA", at positions 28 to 507 of the family's 1533-position model. The record is from RNAcentral.
GACGAACGCUGGCGGCGUGCUUAACACAUGCAAGUCGAACGGAAAGGCCCUGCUUGCAGGGUACUCGAGUGGCGAACGGGUGAGUAACACGUGGGUUAUCUGCCCUGCACUUCGGGAUAAGCCUGGGAAACUGGGUCUAAUACCGGAUAGGAGCCAUUUUUAGUGUGAUGGUUGGAAAGUUUUUUCGGUGUAGGAUGAGCUCGCGGCCUAUCAGCUUGUUGGUGGGGUAAUGGCCUACCAAGGCGGCGACGGGUAGCCGGCCUGAGAGGGUGGACAGCCACAUUGGGACUGAGAUACGGCUCAGACUCCUACGGGAGGCAGCAGUGGGGAAUAUUGCACAAUGGGCGCAAGCCUGAUGCAGCGACGCCGCGUGGGGGAUGACGGCCUUCGGGUUGUAAACUCCUUUCGCUAGGGACGAAGCUUUUUGUGACGGUACCUAGAUAAGAAGCACCGGCUAACUACGUG